This 3893-nucleotide unclassified non-coding RNA is filed under the name Leishmania donovani. RNAcentral describes it as "gene:LdHU3.09.1830(CDS-product:DNA_J-binding_prot ein_putative)". Lineage: Eukaryota; Euglenozoa; Kinetoplastea; Trypanosomatida; Trypanosomatidae. The record is from RNAcentral.
GUGUGCUGCCAGUCGCAUUUCGGGAAGUCUCUGCGCGCUUGUCUUUCAGACGUUGAGCUGUCUGCUUGCUGACCUCUCAUACCUUCCAGACCUUCUCAACUGUGUCGCCAUUGCUGCUCGCAGUAAUCGCUUCCCCUUCUCUUUACUGCGCUAAACUCUGCUAAGAUGGCGCUGCUCUGCAGCCUGAAAACACACGUGCGCCACGGCUUCGAGUUUUGUGCAAUUGGCGCCGGAUUCUCGGCGACUGAUUAGCCAUGGAGCCUGACCCAAAGAAGGUCAAACUAGACAUCUUUGACUUUCCGACCGCCAGGGAGACACGGACGCCGGAGGAAGUGGCAGAGAGCUACGCGGAAGCCGUCAAGUCACACCCCUUUUACGACAACGUGCACUCUGCGAUCGACUUUUACGAUAGCGGUACCAUCAAAGAUGGUCGCGGGCAAAUCAUUGGUGUUGUGCUGCGAGAAGCCCUACCAAAGUACGCGGCAUCCAUGGCGUCGGAGCUGCUCGCAUCCGCUGCCGUGCGCACCUCGCUUCGGAGCAUGAUGUUUGGCGGAGAGUCGCCCUUGAGCGGUAUUGCUGGCUACUUCGACUACCGGGGCUCACCGGUGGAGCUGAAGUCACGCAAAACGUCCUUCACAUAUGAACACGAGGCAGCGUGGCCGGCGGUCUUCCCUGUCGUCGAUUACGUCAGCGAGCUCUACAGGCAUGUCGCGCCGGAGCGGUGGAAAGCACAAAACGACGCCAUUCCGGAUGUUGUGCGUAUUCACGGAACCCCGUUCUCCACGCUUACCAUCAACUCCCGCUUCCGCACAGCCUCUCAUACCGACGUCGGCGAUUUUGACGGUGGCUACAGCUGCAUUGCUUGCCUUGACGGGCAGUUCAAAGGGCUGGCCCUUGCUUUCGACGACUUCGGCAUUAACGUGCUCAUGCAGCCGCGCGAUGUGAUGAUAUUCGACUCGCACCACUUCCACUCAAACACGGAGGUGGAGCUGUCGUUCUCAGGGGAGGACUGGAAGCGACUUACCUGCGUAUUCUACUACCGGGCCGCCCUCGGUGAGCCAGCAAGCUACGCCGAGUACCGGCGCCGGUUGGAGAAGUCCAAGCAGGACACCAGCUUCACUCCAGUGGUGAGCAACGUGAGGGUGAAGGAGAAUGGCACAAACCUGAACCGUCCAUCCCCUGUGUACCCUAUCUUUCUCUCGCCGUUUUGGGUACCGAUGGUGGCGCAUUGCCUGCAGCACUGCGCAUCGGAGGCACAAUGCGUUCACGACGCCAUGACGGCGGAUGGGAGUCGGCUGGCUGAGGUUAUGUUUGGGGAACCGCUGUCAACCUCUGACGGCAUCCCACUGCGUGGAGAGGAGGAGAAGCUGAAGGCCAACAGUGACAGCGCGUCCAGGCCGCUCUCGCGUCUGGGUGGGUUCAGCGAGACGAAUCUUAUGGUGUCCACGGCAGUAGAAAAGAAGAAGUACCUCAACAGCGAGUUCCUCUCCCACUUCAUCAGCGCGCAGCUGCUGGACAUGUGGAAGCAGGCACGCGGCAAGUGGUUGGAGCUGGUAGGCAGGGAAUGGACGCACAUGCUGGCCCUCAACCCCGAGCGCAAAGACUUUUUGUGGAAGAACCAGUCCGAGAUGAACUCGGCUUUUUUCGACCUCUGCGAGGUGGGGAAGCAAGUUAUGCUCGGCCUUCUGGGCAAGGAGGCGGCUCUGCCAAAGGAAGAGCAGGCUUUCUGGACUAUGUACGCCGUGCACCUGAAUGCGGCGUGCGCGGAGGAGCUAAACAUGCCGCACGUCGCCAUGUCGCUUCGCAAGCUCAACGUGAAGCUGAAGGACUUCAACUUUGGCGGCACGCGAUACUUCAAAGACAUGCCUCCCGAGGAGCAGAAGCGCAGAAUGGAGCGCAAGCAGCGCAUUGAGGAGGCACGCCGCCACGGCAUGUCGUCCGGCGCACACGAAAAGCGAGCGAACUGGCUGACCAACGACUCAUUCGACUAUCAAACUGAGGACUGCGUGGUUGAUUACGCCCAACACAAGUGGGUGCCGCCUGCGCUUCACGCAAAGGAGAUAACGAAGAACGUGCGCAAUGGCGAGCUGCCAACUAGGGAAGGAGUGGUGCGAGUGCUCGUUGUGCUGCCCGACCCGCAAAGCAAGGUGGAUUGUGUGGACUGCAAGCUGGAGGUGUCGGAGACGGUGAGAUGUUCAUGCGAGUGGGAGCGUUUGAUGAGCAGCCCGGCUGUGCAUCGUGUCCUAGCCGCUGCGCAGCGCAACCUGCAGCUUCCUGACAGCGUCACGCAUGACAAUAUCGAGAUCCGCUUUGCCUUCCAUAGCAGGCUGCCUACGGACAUGUGCGACUUUGUGGUGCUGCAGCAUGUCUUGAGCUGCAUCCCAGACGACGUGCUGGCCUCGGCGUAUAUCAGGCGCUCUGCAGCGCUCUGUUCCGGCUGUGUAUUUGUGGUGGAGACGGACGUGCAAUGCCGACAAUACUACACCCUCAAGUGUUCCGUUCGCUGCGACUACGACGCGGUCGCACCAUUAUUCUUCCAGCAGCUGCACCGGGUGAGUUACGGGACGAAAGCGGCACGCGUGCGCACCAAAGGAGAACUGGAGUCUCUUAUCCCCACGGUGUGCUGUGCGCGUUACAAGCUGCAAGGUUCGCCGCUGAACACGACCGUUCACGUCGUGGCUCCCGCUCCGCCCCGCUGAAUGCAGAGCAUUUGUUCUCCGAUGCGCGGAAUGGCCUCGCAGUCGCAGGAAAUACGUUUGUGUGCAUAUUCUCCCCGAAGCUAUAUCUUAGCUGUACGCGCUCGCCUUACGCUGCAUAGACCCCGAUGAUGCCGGCCACCUCAGUGUGGUAUCAGGGUCCCGUGCCCACUCUUUCUGGGAAAGCCAUGCAGCCUCCGGCGUGCCUUCAGGUACAUCUGCGGGCUCUUGGUGUCGGCGGAAAUGUCUGGGCUGGCGUCGUGCCAAAGAGACACGUGCGGUCAUGAUGAUGUUCGCACCAGUCCCCUACGAAUCGGGUCGACGAUUCAACUGAUCCACGCAUCCACCCACUGCCUUUUUCUUCGUUUGCUGCGAUGCGGCGCUGUCGAGACUCAUGCUGGACCUUGCCUGAAGUGUAUGCAGUGACAUCGCAGUGUGGGCUGCACAACACGAAACAGUAUUCGUUAUCCGGGCUCCUGGACAUAGCCGCAGUGAAGCAGAGGUAGGAAAACUGCUGUUGUGUGUAUGCGCAUACUUGUCGACUUGUUCGUGGAAGAACGCCAUGCUGAAAAGCGUUAUCUCUCUACAUAGAUGUGGUGCGCGGUCUGAGGAUUCGGAAAGCGUUCUCAUAGCAGUGUAUUUCUUCAUGGAUGUCUGUGGAUUAUGGGAGAGGAACGAGGGAGGGUAUUAUCCCGUGCAGCAGGUGCUUUGGAGGUGCCCGUGGUGGGGGACCUAUCGUUUUCUGCCUCCUCCUCCCCCCCCCUUCACUCCACUCUGACGGUUUUGUGUCCAUCCAUACACUUAUGCGACUCAUUUUCACUCGUCGUCGCAGCGGAGUGUCCUCGCCAGAGGACGCACCCGUGACGUGAUGCUACGCAACGCAUCGGAGGGAGAAAAGCUUCUUUCUUCACCUGUCUGUGUGCCUGAGCAUGCAUUGGUUGAGGAAGUGCUUGCGCGCCCGUGCGUUUUUGCGUGCGUAUGUGCGUGGGCACUCUAGCGAGCACUGUCGCGUACUGACUCCCUUUCGUGCCUAGCCACACCCCUGACACACGCACAAACAAAACCCUGUGCCAGAGUCCAAGACGUGCUAUCGAAGCACCCGCGGCCAAAGAGAGGAUGGCGGGGAGAGAAAAUGGGGGGGGCGUGGGUGUGACCGUUUGCCGGGCGAGCUAAUCCUUGCCCUUUCCUCAAGCUUGU